CGGGUCGGUUGCGCAUGCAAGUCGAGCGGACAGAUGGGAGCUUGUCUCCCUGUAUGUUAGCGGCGGACGGGUGAGUAACACGUGGGUAACCUGCCUGUAAGACUGGGAUAACUCCGGGAAACCGGGGCUAAUACCGGAUGGUUGUUUGAACCGCAUGGUUCAGACAUAAAAGGUGGCUUCGGCUACCACUUACAGAUGGACCCGCGGCGCAUUAGCUAGUUGGUGAGGUAACGGCUCACCAAGGCAUCGAUGCGUAGCCGACCUGAAAGGGUGAUCGGCCACACUGGGACUGACACACGGCCCACACUCCUACGGGAGGCAGGAGUAGGGAAUCUUCCGCAAUGGACGAAUGUCUGACGGAGCAACGCCGCGUGAGUGAUGACGGUUUUCGGAUCGUACAGCUCUGUUGUUAAGGAAGAA
Molecule: ribosomal RNA, 420 nt
Filed under: Bacillus velezensis
Lineage: Bacteria; Bacillati; Bacillota; Bacilli; Caryophanales; Bacillaceae
Description: bacterial SSU rRNA
Rfam family: Bacterial small subunit ribosomal RNA
Source: RNAcentral